This 214-nucleotide long non-coding RNA is filed under the name Capsicum annuum. RNAcentral describes it as "long non-coding RNA (CANN_LNC007124)". Lineage: Eukaryota; Viridiplantae; Streptophyta; Magnoliopsida; Solanales; Solanaceae. The record is from RNAcentral.
GGGUCUUUAAGCUUCUUGGGCAUCUUUUGUAUCCCUACAAAACUAUACUCCUCAGUGAGUGCUACGGUAUCAGCAUCCUAAAACUUAACUUUCUUAAUGACCACCUCCUUCAAGUACUUGCCAUACUGGGACAUUUCUUGCAAAACAUCUAAAAGAGGAAGGUUAAUAUAAACCUCUCUGACCAUGUCAAAUAAUAUUUUGAAGAAUUCAUCCU